GACGAACGCUGGCGGCGUGCUUAACACAUGCAAGUCGAACGGAAAGGCCCUGCUUUUGUGGGGUGCUCGAGUGGCGAACGGGUGAGUAACACGUGAGUAACCUGCCCUUGACUUUGGGAUAACUUCAGGAAACUGGGGCUAAUACCGGAUAGGAGCUCCUGCUGCAUGGUGGGGGUUGGAAAGUUUCGGCGGUUGGGGAUGGACUCGCGGCUUAUGGGCUUGUUGGUGGGGUAGUGGCUUACCAAGGCUUUGACGGGUAGCCUGCCUGAGAGGGUGGCCGGCCCACAUACGACUGAGGUAGGACGCAGACGCGAAUCGGACGCAACGGUGGAGAGUGUUACAGAGUAGACGGGAGGCAGUUAUGACAACGCUACGUGCGGGAAGACGUGAUUGGGGUUGGGAACCAAUGUCGCCUUAGACGGGGCGUUAGUGACGGUACCGGGUAAAGAAGCACCGGCUAACUACGUG
RNAcentral lists this ribosomal RNA (468 nucleotides) under uncultured bacterium. RNAcentral's name for it is "partial 16S ribosomal RNA". It matches the Rfam family "Bacterial small subunit ribosomal RNA", at positions 28 to 507 of the family's 1533-position model. The record is from RNAcentral.